This 1491-nucleotide ribosomal RNA is filed under the name Triticum aestivum (bread wheat). RNAcentral's name for it is "partial small subunit ribosomal RNA". The record is from RNAcentral. Lineage: Eukaryota; Viridiplantae; Streptophyta; Magnoliopsida; Poales; Poaceae.
AUGCCGCCGCCCCCCGCCCGCCGGCCCGGAUUGGCGCCGCCCCGGCCGGUGGCCAUCGCGCAGUCGGCGAAGCCGACGAAGGGACGAGGAGGCAGCGUCAAACGGCCGGCCAAUCGCAGCCGCAACCCGGGCGACAGUUCUACACGGCCGUUGAAGCUCUCGAAGGCGGCCGCGGCGGCUCGGGCCGACGAGUCGCAGACGGUGCGGCCGGCAGCCUCCUCCAGCAGCCACACAUCCAUUCCUCCACCUUCCCCGCCGCCACCGCCGGCCGUGGAGGAAGAUGUGGCCACGUCGACGGCCACCGCCUCCAACAUGUUCGACGAAAUGUCGCAAAGGUAUAAAUUUUGCGGUUGUGAUCUCGGUUGUGCUCUCCUUUCAUGCACGCAACAAAAUGCGGCAAAUGAUGAUUACAUAUAUGAGUCACAAGAAUAUGAAACCCAAUAUGAUGAUGACAAUCUUGAUGUGGAUGAUGAGGGCUUCAUUGUCAAGGGAAGAAGUGGCAAUUAUAGCACCGCGGAGGAUGUGUUGACAUGCACCGCUUGGAAGAAAAUCUCUCAAGAUGCAAGCGUUGGAAGCAACCAAACGGUGAGCACGUAUUGGAAACGCAUCAAGGAGUAUUCCGAUGAGCGCAACACAAGUGGUAUCUUCCGUUCGAGCGACUCUCUACGUCAACGUUGGUCCACCAUCAAUGCCGAAUGCUCAAAGUGGGGCGGUUGCUUGUCAAAUGUUGCUCGCAUGAAUCCAAGUGGUUGCGGUGAUAGUGAUUUGAAAAUGAUUGCACAAGGAUUGUUUUGCGAGAGGAACAUGAAAGGCGAGAAGAAGAAAAGGAAAGGAAAAGCUUUCACUUUUCAUCAUUGCUACAAAGAGCUCAAGGAUGUGGAGAAGUGGAAAACUAGGGAGACUUUUGAAUCGUCGAAGAAGAAGAGUGUGUUGGUUGAGGAUGAAGAAGAUGUCGCCAUUGAGGAGACGAGCCCCACUCCUCACUCCGCGACAAAAUCAUAUAGGCCCGAUGGAAACAAGAAAGCGAAGGGAACCAAGGCUGGAGACAAUGAUCUCAAGGAAGGAUUUGAAGCCAUUGAAAUAGAGGAGAGGAGUGACGCCGAGCAGCGAAGGGCGGCGGCCAAGGAGAAGAGGGCGGCAGCCAAGGAGAGGUUGGCCGCGGCUGAGGAGAGGAAGGCAAAGGCAUAUGUUGAACUUUGUCGCGAUGAAAUGCUCAUGAAGAAGCAAAUGCUCAUGAGGCAAAUGAUGAUGGGAGGAGGCAUGGGAGAUGCCAUGGGUGGUGCCAUGGGAGGUUACAUGAACAUGAUUGGAGGUGCCAUGAGUGGUGCAUUUGGCGGAAACAUAGGAGGUGGCUUCGGUGGCAACAUGGAAGGUGGGUUUGGCGGCAUGGGAGGUGGGUUUGGCGGCAUGGGAGGUGCUUUUGGCGGCAACAUGAUGGGUGGCUUGGGAGGUGGCUAUGGCGGCAACAUGAGUGGCGUUGGAGGUGGAUAG